CUUUGUGGCAUCUGAAAGGGCGAAUGUUCCCCUAUUCAUUUAUAUUCCUUCCCGCGCACUGAUGGCUCUCUCUGUUGCAACAUAAAAGACCGAAGAUAUGUCCAAGUCUGGCAGUCAUUGUGGCUACUGAAAGGGCACAUGUUCCCCUAUUUAUUGAUGUUCCUUCCUGCGAAAUGAUGGCUCUCUCUGUUGCAGCACAAAGGACCUGAAAAUUGUUCACAUCUGGCAGUUUUUGCGGCUACUUAAAGGGCAAAUGUUUCCCUAUUCAUUGAUGUUCCUUCCUGCGAAAUAAUGGCUCGCUCUGUUGCAGCACAAAGGACCUGAAAAUUGUUCAAAUCUGGCAGUUUUUGUGGCUACUUAAAGGGCGAAUGUUCCCCUAUUCAUUGAUGUUACUUCCUGCGAAAUGAUUGCUCGCUCUGUUGCAGCACAAAGGACCUGAAAAUUGGUCAAAUCUGGCAGUUUUUGUGGCUACUUAAAGGGCAAAUGUUCCCCUAUUCAUUGAUAUUCCUUCCUGAGCGAUGAUGGCUCUCUCUGUUGCAAUAUAAAAGGCCUAAAAAUUGUCCAAAUUAGACAAUCUUUGUGGCAUCUGAAAGGGUGAUUGGGCCUCUAUAUAUUGAUGCUAGUUUCAUAUCCAUAUAUGCUUUAGUUGGGAUAUCAUCGCAAGAAGAAGGCAUUGGUUGUUGUC
Acanthaster planci (crown-of-thorns starfish) is the source of this 685-nucleotide long non-coding RNA. NCBI's taxonomy places the organism in Eukaryota, Metazoa, Echinodermata, Asteroidea, Valvatida, Acanthasteridae. The record is from RefSeq and is a predicted model, not a curated record.